This 274-nucleotide ribosomal RNA is filed under the name uncultured eukaryote. Its description in RNAcentral is "partial large subunit ribosomal RNA". It matches the Rfam family "Eukaryotic large subunit ribosomal RNA", at positions 40 to 315 of the family's 3401-position model. The record is from RNAcentral.
AUAUCAAUAAGCGGGGGAAAAGAAACUAACAAGGAUUCCCCUAGUAACGGCGAGUGAACCGGGAAGAGCUCAAAUUUGAAAUCUGGCCUUUGGGUCCGAGUUGUAAUCUAUAGAGGCGUUUUCCGCGCCGGACCGUGUCCAAGUCCCUUGGAAUAGGGUAUCAAAGAGGGUGACAAUCCCGUACUUGACACGACGACCGGUGCUAUGUGAUACGUCUUCGACGAGUCGAGUUGUUUGGGAAUGCAGCUCAAAAUGGGAGUGAAUAUCUCUAAAG